AAAUUCAGCAUAGACAACGUUCUAUAAUAUAAUAGUGUUAUUUGACGUGUAUCUUUUUGACACACAAAGACCCAGACGGCGUUCCAUAUUAUUUGACGCAUCGUAUCUUUUUUGACACACAAGAGCACAAACGGCGUUCCAUAUAUACAAUAUAAUGCGUGCACGUCUAGUCUGGCAGGAAUUCGACCUUACACUUCACUGUUCCAUUACCAGACAGCAACAUCUGAAAACACAUCAUUUGAGAGUUGAGAGCAAUUAUAGCGGCAAAUACUUACAGCGCGUUUCUGCCCUCUUGUGGCAGUAGCGUAGUAGAUAGUCAGCGGCAGCCAAACGUGUUAUAUGUUUUUUCCAACCGAUAGACCUUAACGUUUGCUCAGCGAUCUAAUACAGCCCAGCCCAACUCCGGACUUGGUCCCUUUCCCAGCUCUCUAAAGCGUUUCUUCUCCCACGGUAUAGCUGACAAGCCUCCAUACAUUCCUGGCUGGCUUCUCCUAGAAACAUCUCACCAGCAACAGCUCCAGCUCUCCUGGCCUGGCCUGAUGAUGCUACAUUACACCCCAGGGCUACAUCUCUGAGCCUUCCAGCAUAGCCCCACUGCUAUGGCUCUGAAAAAAAGACACAGAAAACAAAAUUAUGAACUGUGCACCUUCU
Non-coding RNA from Salmo salar (Atlantic salmon), 651 nucleotides. NCBI's taxonomy places the organism in Eukaryota, Metazoa, Chordata, Actinopteri, Salmoniformes, Salmonidae. The record is from RefSeq and is a predicted model, not a curated record.